AGGGGGUGGAAUAUGUUCAGGACAUUCCAAACAUUAAAUAAAAUGUGUGAAGUAGUGGAGAAUUACGUCCCUGAAUGCUCCACAAUACUUUAAACAUAGGUGACAAGAAGACACGCUUAUCAACUCAAUUACUAUUGAUCAAAACAGAACGAGGUUUCGGCUGUAGCCUAUACUUGAAACAAACUAUUGAGACCAUAUUCGCUUACAUGCAUUGCACGCGUGAUGAAUUGCGGCUUAAUGGUGUUUUGAGCCCUCACCGUCGACUUCAAGGCAGCAGCUCACCCACCCCCUGAGCGAAAUAAUUCAUAUCUAUAAAUAACAGCUCACCUUUAUCUUUUUAACCAGAUUUGUAAACAGGUCGCGAUCAAUAUUUUGCAGUACAAUAGGCUACCUUGGUUAAAAAUCGAAUUACGAUAGAUGCAUGCUAGCAUUGCGCUAAAUAAUUAGACAGCUAACAUUAAUUAGUGGUGUUAACAUAAAGUCAGUUAUUGUAUAUGGCAUUAAUAUUAUUCUAAAACACCUUCACUAGUUGUUUUAACCAGAUUUGUAAGCAGGUUGUAUACAACAUUUUGGAAGUGCCUUGGUUUAUAACAGCUAAAAGCUAGCUACAUUAAGUUGCUUGCUCAAAUCUCAAAUUCAAACCAACGUAUUCUCUAAACUGGCAAGCUUGGAGCUGCCUCUGUUCAAUGAUUGGCUCAGGGGGUGGGAGGUGGGAUGCGCCUUCCAGGCAGCUGCUGCCUUGAAGUCGACGGUGAGGGCUCAAAACACCAUUAAGCAGCUUUUUUUUUAUUUAUUUUUUAUCGCGGACUUUUUAUUUUUUUUGCCUUAGGCGCUUGGGAUUUGUUGUAGGCGCUCGGGAAAACGGCUUAGGCGCGCGCCCAAAUUUUCUCUAUGCAGGAAAAACCUGUAUACUCAUUAAAAAAAUAAAAGGUUGGCAAAGUCAACUCCUCUAGGCCUCUUUUUCUUUUAACCCUGGCAGCUCAUACUGCUCUCAACCUCCUCGACGAGCCACCCCGCUUAGCAACGGGGGUUUUCUUCCCACUGGAGCUGCCUUUGCCGACUGCCUUCUCCUCAACAGCUGCGGCAUCACCCUCAUCUCCACCCAGAAGUUCAUCCUCAUCCUCCACAGGAGCCAGGAUGCGGUCAUGCCCCUCCUCCAGAGAGGCUGGUUGUGUGUUCCCAUUGGCUGCUGAUGCUGCCUGUAUGAUCUCCUCGUGCGGCUGCUCCUGCGGUUGCUGCUCCUCCUGCGGUUGCUGCUCCUCCUGCGGCUGCUCCUCCUGCGGCUGCUCCUCCUGCGGCUGAUUCUCCUGCGGCUGCUCCUCUUGCGGCUGCUUCUCCUGCGGCUGCUCCUCCAGCGGCUGCUCCUCCUGCGGCUGCUCCUCCUGCGGCUGCUCUGCUUUUUCACUACUGGAGGGGAGGUCAGUUGGUUUGACUUUUAAGGGUCGACCCCUCUUGCGUGGUGGGCCGUCGUAGAGCGGUUUAGGUUCUGGAAUCGUUGCCUUCCAAUGCCUUUUCUUCUUGCCUAGAGAGCCCCUCGGCCGGCCCCUUUUCUUCGGUGUAGCGCCAUUCUCCAUUUCCAGCUUCUUCUUGGCGACAGCAGAGCCAGAGCUCCGGGGUCGGCCUCUCUUUCUCGGGGGGCUGUCUGCUUCUUCCUCCAGGGACCUUUUCCGGGGCCUGCCCCUCUUUCGCGGGGGUCCGUCAACAGCUGCAGCCUGGACCUUCCCUGAACCCGGUUGUCUCCCCCUCUUUCGGACCGGGCUAAAUGUGAGGCGCCUGGUUUUGUUUGUUGAACCGGGAGGUCGCCCUCUACCUCUUUUGACAGAGCCCUUAGGUCGACCCCUGCCACGUUUGACUGGCGGGGGGAUGCCAUUAGGAAUACCCUCCUCAGAGUCACUGGGCUCUGCCUUCAUCUCCUUUUGGAAUAGUCAGAUGACAAGUUGAGACAAUGUGGCUCUCUGCAGAAGAAAAUGGAUAAGGUUACACUCAUCCUCUUACAUGUCAUAGCAUACUAAAAGAAAAUGUCGGUCUUAGUGCCUGGUUAUUGCAACUAAAUGUAUCUUGCCAAUCGGAAGUCGUAACAAUCUUACUCAAACAAGUAAGGUAAAUGUAAGGUACAUUGAAGGUAAAAUUAUCUACAGCAAGUAGAUAAUAAGUAAGUAAUAAGGUUAUAAGAACUGCAAUCUUGCAAGUGUUUUCAUAUGUACCCAUCAGCGAGGUUAUGACUCUGAAGUUAUCCACGCCCCCCUUUCUAACCUUUGCAACCCAGCAACACGACGGUUCCUAGCUGGCUAAGCUAACAAAAAUAAUGCUGUUCAUGAUGGACAGCUAAGACAGUAACACGUUGCUGAAUGCACAUGUUAUACAUUAAUCAUACAUCAUAUAUUAAGUUAGAAAGAAAUAAUAACGACGUUCACGUGUCCCUUAAUUUGCUAGUUACCUAACAUGGGGGGGACCAGCUAACAUUAGCUGUUCAUCUAGCUGAUACUCCGCUACUUAGGUAGCUACACAAGUAGGUUGGCACAACUUUUAUGAAUCUCCAGAAAUACCUGUGGGAAUCCAGAUUCAAAUAAUGGUUGUUUUCUUGUACACGGCUUCUUGCGUAAUGUGGCAGAAAGCGUGCGGUUCACAAACAAAGGCACGGUAGCUUUCCAAUAUUUGAAUUGGUUGCGACCAUAGACAUAUAUACAGUAUAUAUGUCUAUGGUUGCGACGACGGGCUCUUCUACUUCUUCAUGGCACGUAGAAUUAGUACUUCCGGGUCAUUCAGUUUAAGACCGCAACAUGUGCAGGAGUUCCGUUCUGCUAGCGACUAUCGUUGCUCACUGAACGCUGCUAUGUGUAGUGAAAACAGAAUUUUGCUAGCAGCAGAAUUCAGUGCAUCAGUGCUGUUAUCAUAACCCACUGUAUAAACUGCACAAAAUGAACACACAGCCAACGUUAGCCAACAUAACUGACUUUAGGAUGAACAACCAUAUCACUACAGGGUUUUUCCUGCAUAGAGAAAAUUUGGGCGCGCGCCUAAGCCGUUUUCCCGAGCGCCUACGACAAAUCCCGAGCGCCUAAGGCAAAAAAAAAGUCCGUGAUGGGAAAUAAAAUAAAAGAAUAAAAAAAUAAAUUCAUUCAUGGCGCAAUUCAACUUAAUGGUGUUUUGAGCCCUCACCGUCGACUUCUAGGCAGCAGCUGCCUGGAAGGCGCAUCCCGCCUCCCACCCUCUGAGCCAAUCAUUGAACAGAGGCUUCUCCAAGCUUGCCAGUUUAGAGAAGAUGUUGGUUUGAAUUUGAGAUUUGAGCAAG
Long non-coding RNA from Clupea harengus (Atlantic herring), 3292 nucleotides. The record is from Ensembl. Lineage: Eukaryota; Metazoa; Chordata; Actinopteri; Clupeiformes; Clupeidae.